This is a long non-coding RNA of Scatophagus argus, 854 nucleotides long. RefSeq lists it as uncharacterized. NCBI's taxonomy places the organism in Eukaryota, Metazoa, Chordata, Actinopteri, Scatophagidae. The record is from RefSeq and is a predicted model, not a curated record. The transcript is spliced from 3 exons.
GGGAGCAGACCUAGAAGCAGACAACCCCCAGGCUCUGAUCCUGUUGCCAUGCGGCCGUUUCCCGGGCAACCCGUUCCCAGUGGCUCGUGAUGGAACAGUAAAACCGAGCCAAGAUUGCAGUCUGUGAUGUUAUCAAGAUGCACUGUCUGGAGCAGCUCCAUUGAAAUUAAAUGGGGCCCAGCUGUGAUAGAAAGCAAAGAUGCUGCGUUCCAGAGGUUACAAUGGUCACCCUCCUGGAAUGAGUCAACAGCCAAUGUACCAUGACAAGCAGUAUUAAAAGAUGGAGUGAAAAGUUCAUCUUGGCACAAACGCAUUUCUUAUUUGCAUAACUGAAGCUCGCUCUUCUGUUAAUAGCUAUGAUGAUAGCAGUAAAACCUAGUACUUAUACUCGGGGUUUUGUGACAGAGGUGUUUUGGGUUGAAUCUGUACGAUAUUUUCCACCCUUUUCAUGUCAGUAACAACGUUGAUUUUUUAUUUUUUUUUUCCAUUUCUCCGAGCCCUUGAAGACACCUCAGAAAAUGAAACUUCCCGUGCAUGAAAGCUAUAAUUACAGUGACUCCAUUUAGUGUUAGUGCACUGUGCAGAGAAGAGUGGCAUUCUCUAAUAUCCAGCUCAUAAUAACCCCAGAAAUUAUGAACAAGAUGAAAGAUAUCAGGCACUGGACUAUCACAACGUCUGAGCAGUUCUUUUUUUUCGUUGUUUGUUUGGGUUUCUUCUUUUCUGAGUAAUGGAUACCUCAGACAUUUCUUCAGAGCAUUCAUAACCAGUCGUCUUUUCAAAAGCAGAAUGAAAUCAAUGUGUGCAAUUUGCUUUAAUAGAGAGUGAAUGAAGUGACACAUAAAAAAAAUGGCAAU